UACGUAGGUGGCAAGCGUUGUCCGGAAUUAUUGGGCGUAAAGCGCGCGCAGGCGGUUUCUUAAGUCUGAUGUGAAAGCCCCCGGCUCAACCGGGGAGGGUCAUUGGAAACUGGGAAACUUGAGUGCAGAAGAGGAAAGUGGAAUUCCAAGUGUAGCGAUGAAAUGCGUAGAGAUCGGGAAGAACACCAGUGGCGAAGGCGGUCUGCUGGGCCGUUGCUGACGCUGAGGCGCGACAGCGUGGGGAGCAAACAGG
Molecule: ribosomal RNA, 253 nt
Filed under: uncultured bacterium
Lineage: Bacteria
Description: partial 16S ribosomal RNA
Rfam family: Bacterial small subunit ribosomal RNA
Source: RNAcentral